This 253-nucleotide unclassified non-coding RNA is filed under the name uncultured Bacillaceae bacterium. RNAcentral's name for it is "contains 16S-23S intergenic spacer region". It matches the Rfam family "Bacterial small subunit ribosomal RNA", at positions 524 to 776 of the family's 1533-position model. Lineage: Bacteria; Bacillati; Bacillota; Bacilli; Caryophanales; Bacillaceae. The record is from RNAcentral.
UACGUAGGUGGCAAGCGUUGUCCGGAGUUAUUGGGCGUAAAGCGCGCGCAGGUGGUUCCUUAAGUCUGAUGUGAAAGCCCACGGCUCAACCGUGGAGGGUCCUUGGAAACUGGGGAACUUGAGUGCAGAAGAGGAAAGUGGAAUUCCACGUGUAGCGGUGGAAUGCGUAGAGAUGUGGAGGAACACCAGUGGCGAAGGCGACUUUCUGGUCUGCAACUGACACUGAGGCGCGAAAGCGUGGGGCGCGAACAGG